Molecule: non-coding RNA, 1107 nt
Organism: Lolium perenne
Lineage: Eukaryota; Viridiplantae; Streptophyta; Magnoliopsida; Poales; Poaceae
Source: RefSeq, a predicted model, not a curated record
CGUCCCUUUUCAUUAACAAGGAUUUAGUUUAUGUUUCUAGGUAUUUCAGCUAGGGUACAAAGGACAGAGAAGGUUUAGGAAAAAAUAUGUGUGUAUGCUACGAUUGAUCAAGGCUUGGCCAACGAAGAUGUAAUAUGGGGUACGGCCAAAUUAUCAUCAUCAGAUUUAUAUUUGCUUGGGCUACAAUUCUGGAUGGUCUGGGCAUUAGUUAAUCCAUUUUGAGAGAACUAAAUCCAGGAUAAAUCUAUUGUGACAUUCAUGAAGAAAUUCCUGCUAUUCAAUGAUUUGUGUCAUUGGUGGCACUGCAUCAUCUAAUCCUACUUUAGCUUUCACCUCCAUAUCUGGUUGAAGUGACUUUUCAUCUAAUAAAGGUAUUUAUGACUGCAAGCUUGUUGAAAUGCCACCUUUUUAGUUUCUAGCUUAGGAAUAUGAUUAUAAUUAUUUGUUGCGACUAUCUCCAUUACUUAGUUGUUUCAAGCAUUGACUUCUCCAAUACAACAUGUUUUAUGAGACAUUGGCACUCUUUUUCUAUCGUUGUGAACUUUAUACUAUAAAAAUAUGCUUUGACCAUAUAUCCGGGGAUAUAUCAAAACAUUUCUGUUUUCAUGAGUUACCCACAUUUUGGAUUCUUGACUGCAUGUGUUUCGGGAUGGCCGUAUCAUCUGCGUACGAAUAUAUUUAAUCAACACUCCACUGGCUCUGCUGUUCCUAAGGUUGCUUUCAUAACAUGUAUUUAUGCAUACGAACUGAACAUUCUGCAAGCAAACUAUGAAGAAAAUUGGCAAAUAUACUGGUUGAUCUUCUUUCAGUUGGGAAGUGUUCAAAUUAUUUUGUUCUUUGGAGUGUCUAAUUUGUAGUUUCCUUUUUGAGACAGUUACAACUGCAGGAUAUCUAUUCGACAAAAACUGCAAGCAAAAAUGAUUCGUGCAUGGAUCGGUGGUAGCCACCUAACAUUUAACAGGACAUUAGGCAACGACUUAGGCUUUUGCAUGUUUAUGGUCCUCAUGUAUAAGAAACAAUUGAUAUAGCAUCCGAUUUAUAUACUUAGUAGGUUUGUUAAUUCUGGAGCUUUCGUAAUUCUGAAAAAUGUUGUUUUAGUGAAUUUUU